This 153-nucleotide unclassified non-coding RNA is filed under the name uncultured Ascobolus. RNAcentral describes it as "partial internal transcribed spacer 2". Lineage: Eukaryota; Fungi; Ascomycota; Pezizomycetes; Pezizales; Ascobolaceae. The record is from RNAcentral.
AAUCAAUCAAACCUUGGUUUGGUAUUGGGAGAAGUGGCAUUGCCUCUCUCCUCUAAGCUAUUGGCGGCGCUAUUUCAGCUUGUAAGAUGUAGUAAGUAAUUUCUCGUCAAAACAACUGGGUGGUUGCCUGCCAACUGAACGAUUUAUUUUACA